This 306-nucleotide unclassified non-coding RNA is filed under the name plant metagenome. Its description in RNAcentral is "partial contains 5.8S ribosomal RNA, internal transcribed spacer 2, and large subunit ribosomal RNA". The stretch from base 1 to 105 matches the Rfam family "5.8S ribosomal RNA", at positions 50 to 154 of the family's 154-position model. The record is from RNAcentral.
GAAAUGCGAUAAGUAAUGUGAAUUGCAGAAUUCAGUGAAUCAUCGAAUCUUUGAACGCACAUUGCGCCCGCCAGUAUUCUGGCGGGCAUGCCUGUCCGAGCGUCAUUUCAACCAUCAAGCCACCGGGCUUGUGUUGGGGACCUGCGGCUGCCCGCAGGCCCUGAAAACCAGUGGCGGGCUCGCUGUCACACCGAGCGUAGUAGCAAUCACCUCGCUCAGGGCGUGCUGCGGGUUCCGGCCGUUAAACAGCCUUACAAAACCCAAGGUUGACCUCGGAUCAGGUAGGAAGACCCGCUGAACUUAAGC